This 433-nucleotide ribosomal RNA is filed under the name uncultured bacterium. Its description in RNAcentral is "partial 16S ribosomal RNA". It matches the Rfam family "Bacterial small subunit ribosomal RNA", at positions 29 to 507 of the family's 1533-position model. The record is from RNAcentral.
AACGAACGCUGGCGGCAUGCCUAACACAUGCAAGUCGAACGAGACCUUCGUGUCUAGUGGCGCACGGGGGGGUAACGCGGGGGAACUGGCCCUAGGUUUCGGAAAACUCCCCUGAAGGGGGGGUUAAUGCCGGAUAAUUUUUUGGGACAAAGGAUUUAUCGCCUUGGGAUGGGCCGGGGUUGGUUUAGCUGGUUGGUAGGGUAAACGCAGACGAAGGCGACGUUCCUUAGCUGGUCUGAGAGGAUGAUCGGCCACACUGGGACUACGACACGGCCCAGACUCCUACGGGAGGCAGCAGUGGGGAAUAUUGGACAAUGGGCGAAAGCCUGAUCCAGCAAUGCCGCGUGAGUGAUGAAGGCCUUAGGGUUGUACAGCUCUUUUACCCGGGAUGAUAAUGACAGUACCGGGAGAAUAAGCUCCGGCUAACUCCGUG